UCCGUAGGUGAACCUGCGGAAGGAUCAUUAAAGAUUCGACCUUUUGGUCUAUCUCUCUUCAGCUGUGCGCUUAGGCUGCACGCUGUUGAACCUUUCACACCUGUGCACCAUUCGGUUGCGGUUUCAGCCGCUUCCGCUUUUACACAUACCACCACAGUCCAGAAUGUAAACACAAUAACAAAUAACAACUUUCAACAACGGAUCUCUUGGUUCUGCAUCAUGAAGAACAGCAGCGAAAUGCGAUAAGUAUGUGAAUUGCAGAAUUCAGUGAAUCAUCGAAUCUUUGAACGCACAUUGCGCCCUUUGGUAUUCCUUAGGGCAUGCCUGUUCGAGCGUCAUCUACACCCUCAAGCACUGCUUGGCGUUGGGUGCCUGUCCCGCCCCGCGCGUGGACUCACCUCAAAUCCAUUGGCGGCGGUACAUUGGCUUCGAGCGCAGCAGAAACGCGAACUCGAGCCCGUUGUAUUGGCUCCAGAAGCUAUCUUCAUAAUUUUGACCUCGGAUCAGGUAGGGAUACCCGCUGAACUUAAGCAUAUCAAU
RNAcentral lists this ribosomal RNA (540 nucleotides) under uncultured fungus. Its description in RNAcentral is "eukaryotic LSU rRNA". The stretch from base 187 to 338 matches the Rfam family "5.8S ribosomal RNA". Lineage: Eukaryota; Fungi. The record is from RNAcentral.